GUCGCUAUCGUCUAAUGGUUAGGACGUUACGUUGAGGCCGUGGCAACCCGCGGUUCAAAUCCGAAGUAGUGACU
Non-coding RNA from Perkinsus marinus ATCC 50983, 74 nucleotides. The record is from Rfam. NCBI's taxonomy places the organism in Eukaryota, Perkinsozoa, Perkinsida, Perkinsidae.